This is a long non-coding RNA of Saccostrea cuccullata (small rock oyster), 364 nucleotides long. RefSeq lists it as uncharacterized. NCBI's taxonomy places the organism in Eukaryota, Metazoa, Mollusca, Bivalvia, Ostreida, Ostreidae. The transcript has 3 exons. The record is from RefSeq and is a predicted model, not a curated record.
AUGGGAGAGAAACUGUUAAAGAUGAUGUACGAUCCGGAAGACCAAAAACGCCGCAGAGAAAGUUUGAUAAUAAAGUAUGGAUGACAAAACAUGGAAAGCGUCCAGUUAUUGCCAAACGCUGUCAGAGCACAAAGAAGAUUCUUCAAGCCAUUUUCUUUGAUAGGGAGGGUGUUGUGUUGCAAUUUCCAAUUCCCAAGAAGAAAAGUGUUACUGGAAAGCAAUACAAAAACAAAUGUCCAAAAACUGGUAUUAAUGAUCUCUUCUUGUUGCACGAUAAUGAUCCAGCCCACAAGUCCAAAUUAGUCACAGAUUUCCCCAGUAAAGAAGGGGUUAAUGUCAUCCCUCAUCCUGCUUACUCUCCAGA